Molecule: long non-coding RNA, 1567 nt
Organism: Oreochromis aureus
Lineage: Eukaryota; Metazoa; Chordata; Actinopteri; Cichliformes; Cichlidae
Source: Ensembl
GCGAUAGUUACGCUGAUGGAGUAGGAAGUGUUACAAACAGCUGAUCGGAUCGGCAAAGCGUGUUUCUGGAAUAUUUUGUUUUUGUUGCUGCAAGCGCUUUUUAUGCAGUUUUUGCAAAGCUAUAUGUGGAAGGAAACCGUGACCUAGGACAAGCUGAUGGCAUAAAAUCAGAUGGUCUAUAACAGCAGAAGACUACAUCAGGUCCCAAUAUGAGCAACAUUCAGAGGUAGGGUCAGAAUUUUGCAUAAAAAACACGAAAGUGUGUCUCCGUCAUGCCUCGUUCAGGCAGUUUUGCUAUACUAUUGGCUGCAAAUUACUUCAGGUGAAUGGAAUGUCUCUAAAUGCUCAUCUCAGCCAAAAAGCUAAGGAUUUUUUUUAAAACUGUGAAUCAUGCAAAACCGCUCUGGUAAAAUGCAGGAAUUGUUUUAAAAAAGGGAAAUGAGCAUAAUAAGUUCCCUUUGACAAUAAUUUUUUUUUAAAAAUCACAAAUUAUUAUGAUCCUACUUUAAGUCUAAUCUCUGUACUCAAGUAAUUACACUAAGUCAUGCAAAUGUUUUGUGUUUGUUCUUGACAGGGAAGCACGUUUUCUUUCUGGCUGCUUCUCUGUGGUCUGACCAGAAACUAACUCAUCCUUAUUCUAGAAAGUGAACCACAACACGUGGCAACAGAGCCCACAAACAUGAGCUCAUUCCUCUUGAGGGGAAACUAGCAACUGAAAAAAACAGAAAGAGAGAAAGUCCCAGUGUUCCUCUCCACAUCCAUUUGUCUUUGGACUACAUUCCUGCUCCUCUUCCUCAAAUGAAAUGGUUAUCCCUGCAAACAAUGAGAAGACUGAGCUGCAGGAGCAUCUGCAGCAUGUGAAGUGGGACAUGAAACAAAAAUUGGCUCACAAGGUCGAGGUCAACUUCAGCAUCAGCACAUUCUUUGAGCCAAGGCGUUGGAGAGAAAGCAGGCGCGAACUGAAAAUGGCCCUAGUCUCUUCCUAACAUGCUUUUAUUUCCCACAUACUUCGUGAUCAGCAGGCCUCAGUAUGUUAUCAGGUAAUACUGAGACAAACAGCUGCUUACGUGCUGAAAUGUGGAUGUAUUAUUUGAGAAAAGCAUUACACAUGAAUCAGAAGAACAAUACAUUUUGACCAAUAGGCUAACAAUUAAAGUAAACUCAUCAGUAUUAAAAAUACAGCUGGAAAGGUGAACUGUUCCUACUUUAAGAGCAAGUGCAAGUGCAAGCAGAUAUGUUGCAAAAUGUAUUUACCAUCAUAAUUAAAUACAAAAAGAAAGAAUGUGCAGAAAAAAUCUGAACUCUAAACUCACACCUAUGAUAUUAAUUUAAAAAUCAUAGUUGACCUUUUCGAGUUAUUGUAACAAAAAAAGGAAAAAAGUCUUUUCUGUGGCUAAGUCCUCAAUUUUCCUUUAUUCCUUGUAAUGUUGUCAGUCUCCAUAUGAGUCACGUUGACCACGUGCUGUGUGCUUCAUGCUUUGCUCUGGAAUGUCAGGUUUCAAAUUGCAUGUACCCGAUAUUGCCUUGCCAUGCCAUGCCAGAGAUAUAAGAUUGUGUGUAACUGUAA